AUAACGACUCUCGGCAACGGAUAUCUCGGCUCUCGCAUCGAUGAAGAACGUASCGAAAUGCKAUACUUGGUGUGAAUUGCAGAAUCCCGUGMACCAUCGAGUCUUUGAACGCAAGUUGCGCCCUAAGCCUUUUGGCCGAGGGCACGUCUGCCUGGG
This 156-nucleotide ribosomal RNA is filed under the name Arabis sudetica. RNAcentral describes it as "5.8S ribosomal RNA". It matches the Rfam family "5.8S ribosomal RNA". From Rfam's summary of the family: 5.8S ribosomal RNA (5.8S rRNA) is a component of the large subunit of the eukaryotic ribosome. It is transcribed by RNA polymerase I as part of the 45S precursor that also contains 18S and 28S rRNA. The record is from RNAcentral. Lineage: Eukaryota; Viridiplantae; Streptophyta; Magnoliopsida; Brassicales; Brassicaceae.